This is a non-coding RNA of Cladorrhinum sp. PSN332, 114 nucleotides long. The record is from the annotation of a GenBank genome assembly. NCBI's taxonomy places the organism in Eukaryota, Fungi, Ascomycota, Sordariomycetes, Sordariales, Podosporaceae.
GUGUCUUGUGGUGUAACUGGCAACACACGGGCUGCCCCUUGGGUCCUAGGCCCCCCUUGGGUGUGUCUUCGGACACCCAGCGCGAGACUCCUGGUUCAAAUCCAGGCGGGCACA